Camellia sinensis is the source of this 339-nucleotide non-coding RNA. The record is from RefSeq and is a predicted model, not a curated record. Lineage: Eukaryota; Viridiplantae; Streptophyta; Magnoliopsida; Ericales; Theaceae.
GUUGAAAAGCCCAGGGUGGAGAUCGAUUGAUAGGAUGGCUAAAACAUAAAGUGGGUUAGGUAAGAGAACAUGCUGCAACAGUUUUAGCAGGCCUAAUGAAGGGUGGGGAUGAAAACCUAGCUGAAGACUUCCGUGGUAGGGCUUACAGAGAUGCAAAUGCAAUUCAAAAGAAGAGAAGACAGAGAAAUUCAAGUUCUGGUCUGUCCAUAGCUUCCAUACACGGUGCUGUACUUGCUUUGGCAGCUUGUGUUUUAUCUGUUCCAUAUGAUAUGCCCAGGUAUGUUCAUGUCUAACAUAUACUAGGGCUGUGUUUGGAUUUAGGAUUAGGGUAGGGAUUUG